Molecule: ribosomal RNA, 700 nt
Filed under: uncultured beta proteobacterium
Lineage: Bacteria; Pseudomonadati; Pseudomonadota; Betaproteobacteria
Description: bacterial SSU rRNA
Rfam family: Bacterial small subunit ribosomal RNA
Source: RNAcentral
CCCCUCGAGAGUGGCGAACGGGUGAGUAAUAUAUCGGAACGUGCCCAGUCGUGGGGGAUAACGUAGCGAAAGUUACGCUAAUACCGCAUACGAUCUCAGGAUGAAAGCGGGGGACCGUAAGGCCUCGCGCGAUUGGAGCGGCCGAUAUCAGAUUAGGUAGUUGGUGGGGUAAAGGCUCACCAAGCCAACGAUCUGUAGCUGGUCUGAGAGGACGACCAGCCACACUGGAACUGAGACACGGUCCAGACUCCUACGGGAGGCAGCAGUGGGGAAUUUUGGACAAUGGACGCAAGUCUGAUCCAGCCAUUCCGCGUGCAGGAUGAAGGCCCUCGGGUUGUAAACUGCUUUUGUACGGAACGAAAAGGUCUCUCUUAAUACGAGGGGCUCAUGACGGUACCGUAAGAAUAAGCACCGGCUAACUACGUGCCAGCAGCCGCGGUAAUACGUAGGGUGCAAGCGUUAAUCGGAAUUACUGGGCGUAAAGCGUGCGCAGGCGGUUAUGUAAGACAGAGGUGAAAUCCCCGGGCUCAACCUGGGAACUGCCUUUGUGACUGCAUAGCUAGAGUACGGUAGAGGGGGUUGGAAUUCCGCGUGUAGCAGUGAAAUGCGUAGAUAUGCGGAGGAACACCGAUGGCGAAGGCAAUCCCCUGGACCUGUACUGACGCUCAUGCACGAAAGCGUGGGGAGCAAACAGGAUUAG